RNAcentral lists this long non-coding RNA (211 nucleotides) under Elaeis guineensis (African oil palm). RNAcentral describes it as "long non-coding RNA (EGUI_LNC026046)". Lineage: Eukaryota; Viridiplantae; Streptophyta; Magnoliopsida; Arecales; Arecaceae. The record is from RNAcentral.
GAGAGUAAAUUUUAUUGCCUGCAAGAAGUUGUUUGAUUAGGUUACAUUUUAAGAAUAUGUUGAUUUAGGUUUUUGGGGCUCUCAUUUUGACCUCAUCACAAAAUUAAGGCCUUAGGGUAAUUAUAAUUCACAUAUAAUUCAUUUGUGUGUUAGCUAUCUCCUUCCCUUGGUGUUGAGAAGUCAAUUUUGAUUAGGGCUGAAACUGAAAUAG